This is a long non-coding RNA of Octopus bimaculoides (California two-spot octopus), 413 nucleotides long. RefSeq lists it as uncharacterized. The record is from RefSeq and is a predicted model, not a curated record. NCBI's taxonomy places the organism in Eukaryota, Metazoa, Mollusca, Cephalopoda, Octopoda, Octopodidae.
GGAGAAGCAGUUAAAAUUUACUACGGAGCCGUGAACUCGAAAUAUAAAGUUCAAAUCAGUCCAAGCGUAAAUAUAUCGUUAAUGAAUUCACAUCUAAAAAGUCAGAUGCUACGAGCAGAUAUAGGGAGGAGUCACAUCCCGACGUACAUAUUAUACAAGUGCUGCGUGCAUAUAAAGUAGUGAAAACAAGAACAAGAACAAGAUGAACAACAACGAUAAUAGUAGGAUCAGCAACAUAUAAAGAGACAUAAAGGAAGAAAGAGAACAAGAUUUUAAAAAUUUGAAUAAAGGAAGAAAAGAACGAUUAUCUAGAAUUUACGAUGAAAAUGAUAGUUAAAUAGCUGAAUAGGAAGAAGAAGAAGAAGAAGAAGAAGAAGAAGAAGAAGAAGAAGAAGAAGAAGAAGAAGAAGAAG